AGAGUUUGAUCCUGGCUCAGAUUGAACGCUGGCGGCAUCCUUACACAUGCAAGUCGUACGCGAAAGGGGGCAACCCCGAGUAGAGUGCGAACGGGUGAGCAAUACAUCGGAACGUGUCCUGUAGCGGGGGACAACCUCGAGAAAUCGAGGCUAAUACCGCAUACGAUCUACGGAUGAAAGUGGGGGACCGCAAGGCCCCACACUAUAGGAGCGGCCGAUGCCGGAUUAGCUAGUUGGUGGGGUAACGGCCUACCAAGGCGACGAUUCGUAGCUGGUUUGAGAGAACGACCAGCCACACUGGGACUGAGACACGGCCCAGACUCCUACGGGAGGCAGCAGUGGGGAAUUUUGGACAAUGGGCGAAAGCCUGAUCCAGCCAUGCCGCGUGAGUGAAGAAGGCCUUCGGGUUGUAAAGCUCUUUCGGCGGGGACGAAAUAGCGCGGGGUAAUAUCCCGCGUCGAUGACGGUACCCGAAGAAGAAGGACCGGCUAACUACGUGCCAGCAGCCGCGGUAAUACGUAGGGUCCAAGCGUUAAUCGGAAUUACUGGGCGUAAAGCGUGCGUAGGCGGUCUCGCAAGUCCGAUGUGAAAUCCCCGAGCUUAACUUGGGAACUGCGUUGGAAACUAUGAGGCUAGAGUGCGGCAGAGGGGGGUGGAAUUCCAGGUGUAGCAGUGAAAUGCGUAGAGAUCUGGAGGAACCCGAUGGCGAAGGCACCCCCUGGGCCAGCACUGACGCUGAUACACGAAAGCGUGGGGAGCAAACAGGAUUAGAUACCCUAGUAGUCC
RNAcentral lists this ribosomal RNA (786 nucleotides) under uncultured bacterium. RNAcentral's name for it is "bacterial SSU rRNA". It matches the Rfam family "Bacterial small subunit ribosomal RNA", at positions 8 to 796 of the family's 1533-position model. The record is from RNAcentral.